AUUGAACGCUGGCGGCAGGCCUAACACAUGCAAGUCGAGCGGGGUUUUCGGACCUAGCGGCGGACGGGUGAGUAAUGCGUAGGAAGCUACCCGAUAGAGGGGGAUACCAGUUGGAAACGACUGUUAAUACCGCAUAAUGUCUACGGACCAAAGUGUGGGACCUUCGGGCCACAUGUUAUCGGAUGCGCCUACGUGGGAUUAGCUAGUUGGUGGGGUAAUGGCUCACCAAGGCGACGAUCCCUAGCUGGUUUGAGAGGAUGAUCAGCCACACUGGAACUGAGACACGGUCCAGACUCCUACGGGAGGCAGCAGUGGGGAAUAUUGGACAAUGGCGCAAGCCUGAUCCAGCCAUGCCGCGUGUGUGAAGAAGGCCUUCGGUGUAAGUCGACUUUCUAGCGAGGAGGAA
Molecule: ribosomal RNA, 406 nt
Filed under: uncultured bacterium
Lineage: Bacteria
Description: bacterial SSU rRNA
Rfam family: Bacterial small subunit ribosomal RNA
Source: RNAcentral